ACUCCUACGGGAGGCAGCAGUGGGGAAUAUUGCACAAUGGGCGCAAGCCUGAUGCAGCCAUGCCGCGUGUAUGAAGAAGGCCUUCGGGUUGUAAAGUANAGANACUANCGGAGUGAGUGUAGUUAAUAGCUGCAUUAUUUGACGUUAGCUGCAGAAGAAGCACCGGCUAACUCCGUGCCAGCAGCCGCGGUAAUACGGAGGGUGCGAGCGUUAAUCGGAAUUACUGGGCGUAAAGCGCAUGCAGGUGGUUUGUUAAGUCAGAUGUGAAAGCCCGGGGCUCAACCUCGUAAUUGCAUUUGAAACUGGCAGACUAGAGUACUGUAGAGGGGGUGGNAAUGAUCAGGUGUAGCGGUGAAAUGCGUAGAGAUCUGAAGGAAUACCGGUGGCGAAGGCGGCCCCCCUGGACAGAUACUGACACUCAGAUGCGAAAGCGUGGGGAGCAAACAGGAUUAGAUACCCUGGUAGGAUAGCGU
RNAcentral lists this ribosomal RNA (473 nucleotides) under uncultured bacterium. RNAcentral's name for it is "bacterial SSU rRNA". It matches the Rfam family "Bacterial small subunit ribosomal RNA", at positions 335 to 800 of the family's 1533-position model. The record is from RNAcentral.